CCCUGACUCUGGGAUAAGCGCUGGAAACGGCGUCUAAUACUGGAUAUGUGACNUGACCGCAUGGUCUGCGUCUGGAAAGAAUUUCGGUUGGGGAUGGGCUCGCGGCCUAUCAGCUUGUUGGUGAGGUAAUGGCUCACCAAGGCGUCGACGGGUAGCCGGCCUGAGAGGGUGACCGGCCACACUGGGACUGAGACACGGCCCANACUCCUACGGGAGGCAGCAGUGGGGAAUAUUGCACAAUGGGCGCAAGCCUGAUGCANCAACGCCGCGUGAGGGAUGACGGCCUUCGGGUUGUAAACCUCUUUUAGCAGGGAAGAAGCGAAAGUGACGGUACCUGCAGAAAAAGCGCCGGCUAACUACGUGCCANCAGCCGCGGUAANUACGUAGGGCGCAAGCGUUAUCCGGAAUUAUUGGGCGUAAAGAGCUCGUAGGCGGUUUGUCGCGUCUGCUGUGAAAUCCGGAGGCUCAACCUCCGGCCUGCAGUGGGUACGGGCAGACUAGAGUGCGGUAGGGGNAGAUUGGAAUUCCUGGUGUAGCGGUGGAAUGCGCAGAUAUCAGGAGGAACACCGAUGGCGAAGGCAGAUCUCUGGGCCGUAACUGACGCUGAGGAGCGAAAGGGUGGGGAGCAAACAGGCUUAGAUACCCUGGUAGUCCACCCCGUAAACGUUGGGAACUAGUUGUGGGGUCCAUUCCACGGAUUCCGUGACGCAGCUAACGCAUUAAGUUCCCCGCCNUGGGGNAGUACGGCCGCAAGGCUAAAACUCAAAGGAAUUGACGGGGNACCCGCACAAGCGGCGGAGCAUGCGGAAUUAAUUCGAUGCAACGCGAAGAACCUUACCAAGGCUUGACAUAUACGAGAACGGGCCAGAAAUGGUCAACUCUUUGGACACUCGUAAACAGGUGGUGCAUGGUUGUCGUCAGCUCGUGUCGUGAGAUGUUGGGUUAAGUCCCGCAACGAGCGCAACCCUCGUUCUAUGUUGCCAGCACGUAAUGGUGGGAACUCAUGGGAUACUGCCGGGGUCAACUCGGAGGAAGGUGGGGAUGACGUCAAAUCAUCAUGCCCCUUAUGUCUUGGGCUUCACGCAUGCUACAAUGGCCGGUACAAAGGGCUGCAAUACCGCGAGGUGGAGCGAAUCCCAAAAAGCCGGUCCCAGUUCGGAUUGAGGUCUGCAACUCGACCUCAUGAAGUCGGAGUCGCUAGUAAUCGCAGAUCAGCAACGCUGCGGUGAAUACGUUCCCGGGUCUUGUACACACCGCCC
This 1259-nucleotide ribosomal RNA is filed under the name Microbacterium sp. RNAcentral's name for it is "bacterial SSU rRNA". It matches the Rfam family "Bacterial small subunit ribosomal RNA", at positions 130 to 1395 of the family's 1533-position model. Lineage: Bacteria; Bacillati; Actinomycetota; Actinomycetes; Micrococcales; Microbacteriaceae. The record is from RNAcentral.